UCUCCGUUGGUGAACCAGCGGAGGGAUCAUUACCGAAGUUACCUUCAAAACCCACUGUGAACCUUACCUCUUGCCGCGUUGUCUCGGUGGGAGGCGGUGUGCGUCGCGCGCCCUAGCGGGCCGCGCCGCUCCCGUCCCCGCCGGCAGCGCCAAACUCUAAAUGCACAGCGGACUGUACGUUCUGAUUUACAAAAAAAAACAAGUUAAAACUUUCAACAACGGAUCUCUUGGUUCUG
Molecule: unclassified non-coding RNA, 236 nt
Filed under: plant metagenome
Description: partial contains small subunit ribosomal RNA, internal transcribed spacer 1, and 5.8S ribosomal RNA
Source: RNAcentral